Trichinella nelsoni is the source of this 1904-nucleotide ribosomal RNA. It matches the Rfam family "Eukaryotic small subunit ribosomal RNA", at positions 1357 to 1666 of the family's 1831-position model. NCBI's taxonomy places the organism in Eukaryota, Metazoa, Nematoda, Enoplea, Trichinellida, Trichinellidae. The record is from Rfam.
GAUGUCUGACAGCUACAAGUGUUUAGUGGAAAGGUAAGUACAAUUAAACAAUGUACAUCGUUUUAGGGACUAAGAUCGCAGAUCGCAGUGAUAGGGGUUGGAAAGGUAAGUAGAUUUCUUGGAUGCGUUUAACUUCUUUCCAGGUGGAUUACCUUGAACCCCAGUAAAGUUUUCUCAUACUAGCAAUCAUUGUUAUGUCGUGACAUGAGCUUCAAAAAUUUUCAUACUCAAUCUGGCUACGCAUCAGAUUUACCCUCAGGGUGAUUAUGCAAAUUUUUAAUGCCCUCAGGUUAUUCCUAGGGGCAUAUGCAAAUUUUUAUAUGCCCUAAGGCUACGCCUCAGGCUAUGCCUUAGGCAAUUUUUCGAAAAAUUCGAAAUUUUUAAAAUAUAGCCCGAGGCAUUGCCCUCAGGCUACGCCUCAGGGCAAAUAAAAAUUUGCAUAUCCCCUCAGGCUAUGCUUCAGGCGUUUUAUUGCACCAUAUUUGGCCUCAGGGUGAUUAUGCAAAUUUUUAAUGCCCUCAGGUUAUUCCUAGGGGCAUAUGCAAAUUUUUAUAUGCCCUAAGGCUACACCUCAGGCUAUGCCUCAGGCAAUUUUUCGAAAAUUUCGAAAUUUUUAAAAUAUAGCCCCAGGCUUUGCCCUCAGGCUACGCCCCAGGGCAAAUAAAAAUUUGCAUAUUACCCUUAGGGGUUAAAAAAAUUUGCAUAUUAUCUCCAGGCUACGCCCGUGGGUAUUAGCAUUUGACUUCUGGCUAUGCGUUGUCAAGCCUUAUGCAAUGCAAAAUUUUCCAAAUUACAUUUUAUUGUUUUCACAUAUUUUGUUCCGUUAUUUUAGGCUGCCCAUGAAGGCUCAAAAUAUCUCUGGUUUCGUUUGAUACUUACCUGAUGCAUUUCCAGUGCUGACAGUUCAGAUGAAUGGACUAUAUAUGAAUAUAUUCUGAAUUAAUCUGCAACCAGAAUCCAUAAACUCCAUCCACCUAUAGAACUUACCUGAAACCAAUGAAAGUAACCACGGAAGGAAACCCUGGCGAGCAGAUGAGCCUGAAAUGCAAACUAUUUGCCUAUGAAUCCUAAAAUGUAAUGAAAAAUUAAACUUUGUAAACUGCAUCGAAUUGAACUGGUAAAAGAAAAAUGAGCCAAGCGAGCAGUCACGGUGACAGCAUGAAACUCCAUUGCUGUUAUGAAAUUUGAAUCUAAUUAUAAAAUGCAUAACUCUGCAAAAACAGUCUGAAAGGGCCAAAUACUGCAGCUCACCACGCUGCUUGGGUGUCCUGACGGGUGACGUGUUCCGCCGUUCCAAGCAUUGCCCACUUUCUGACGGGGUGGACCAACGGGUGGGUGUCUCCGUCGUGCUAACCGCUCGCCGAUUCGUGUCGAAUUCCGGGAGUUCUCACAGGCUGAGAUGUUCCACGAGAACCUAUUGGGAGCGGGAUACCUUUGGGAGACCUUUUUCAAGAUGUCAUCGUUCAGAAGUCCCUAGAGAACCGACAACAGUGGCAUCGUACAUCACGGAGUAUCCUUGCAGCCAGAACGCAGGGAUUCAUCCAGAAGGCGGUAACAGUAUUUUCAAACGCAACUGCAACAAUUAUUAUAUUCAUAUUCGAGACUCUACCCUAUUAAAUAGUAACAGCAAUGAAUUUUUGAGCUCAUCACUUAGAGAGACUAGCAAAUUGAAAGCUGCAUAGAAACAGCAACAAUAGUCUGAGAUGCCCUUCGAUGUCUGGGGAUGCACGCGCUCUACAAUGAAAACGUCAACCUGAGUUACGUUCUUACCUGAAAUGGCUUGGCAAUCGAAUAAAACGUUUUCUUGAAUGGAAUAGGGAAUUGCAAUUGCUUCCCUUGCACGAAGAAUUCCCAGUAAGCGUGAGUCAUUAGCUCACGUUGAUUACGCGCCUGCCCUUUGCGAA